This 4180-nucleotide long non-coding RNA is filed under the name Homo sapiens (human). RNAcentral describes it as "HSALNT0279747". Lineage: Eukaryota; Metazoa; Chordata; Mammalia; Primates; Hominidae. The record is from RNAcentral.
GAAAAAGUUAUCCCAGACAGACAAAUUAGAUCCUGGUAGCUGAAAUGAUCUUAAAGCUGUCAACUACUAUAAGCAGUCAAAUGGAUCAUACAAUCUGCAAUAUGGUUGAGUGAUAGGCCUCCAAAGGAAGCAACUGGACAUCGGCCAGCUGAAGAGGUCAGCCAGAGGAUCCUACUAUGGUCGUUAAGAAUUGUGGACUUUUCUUUUUGCACAUGCACCACAGAAAAACCAAGAUGCUCCAAUGCUGUCAGUAAAAGCAAGCCCAGGAUAGGGAGAUGUUGUCACUUUUAGGAGUGUGAACUGAAGACAUCCAUAUUCACAUCUAGUUCGGCUCACUUGUCAUCUGCAUCUCUGGCACCAAGUUCUUUUCCCUCUGUGUGAACGGAAUUUCUUUUGGUGAACUCUGAUGAAGCUUCUGAGAAAAACUUCUGGCCACAAGUUUACUACGUCUGUACUUCACCAUUGUUUUCUUUCUCUGUGAUUUUUUUGAAGUUCUUCAUAAACUGAAGAACAAGUUGGAAGUUCACAUGAGGUGAGAAAGCUGAAAUUACACAGACAUUUCCUUGAACAAACAAUAUACUUCAAUCUCCCCCCACUGACUCAUCAUCAGGCAGUUUGUUUAUUUGCCUAUUUAACUGGGUUUUCCCAAACAAAGGAGGGACCUUGCUAUGCAAAGUCCUCUUCAGAAGUCGCAUCCAUUUUAGAAGACAUGUGAAAUAAAAUGGAGAGAAAACGAAGGGCUGAGAAAUCCUCAAAGCUGCAUACAUCUGGUUUUGAUUUGGGUCUGUAUUUUUCUUUCCCUCUGGUAGCUUUCGUUUUCAAAGCGGCCAGUGGGUGAAACAUUUUAAUUGAUGCAACCCUUUUUCCAAUGUCCUGGUGGUCAUCCCUGAAACCGUGUCGCAUGGUUCUCUAAAAAUGCAUCGAUGAUAGAAACCCUCUGUCUCCUACUUUGUUCAGACGCUUGCAAAAAUCUUUCUUAAUUGAUCCCACGUGUUGUAGUGUGGCUAAGGUAUCAAUAUUUCAUAGCACUAAGACGGAACUUGGAGUAGUAUCAGUUCCCCAUUCCCCCAACCCCAGGCUUGACUUAGCAUAGCAAGUUCUUUAGAUUUGCAAGGAGUGCCCGAAAAGUCAAUCAGUAAAAAUAAAUACAAGCUUUAUUCAGUUUAUACUGCAUCUGAAAUAUUAAUCUUUACAAUAAUUAGACUUAAGUUUUUCCUCUUCUCAAGCACAGAGGGAAGCUGUCUUAGUUCAUUUCAGGCUGCUGUAACAGAAUACCACAGUCAGGGCUUAUAAACAACAGGCGUUUAUUGCUCACAGUUCUGGAGGCUGGAGGUCCAAGACCAAGGUGUGGCAGUUUCAGUGUCUGGUGAGGGCUUCCUGGUUCACAGACGGCACCUUCUCACUGUGUCUUCAAAUGGUGGAAGGGGCGAGGGAGCUCUCUGGGGUGCAUUUUAUGAGGGCACUGAUCCCAUUCGUGAGGCUCCAUGCUCAUGACCUCAUCACUUCCCCAUGCCUCACCUCCUAGUACCUUUGGAGUUAAUGUUUCAAAAUAGGAAUUUGAGGAGAUAUGGACAAGCUGCAGGUAUUCAAGACUAUUACAUUAAUUUAGGAAGAUAAAUACAGGAAGGAAUUUAAGUUUAGCUGCAAAUGCAUGUGCCCACACACACACACACACACACACACACACACACACAAAUACAAGUUUUCUCAUUUUUUUCAAAGCUAGCUCCCCAUAGGCAGAGAUCUGCAGAAGAUGGGGCUCUGGACUUGAUAAUGUGUUCUAAUUCUCCCAAAUGUUGCUUUAUGAAUUUGGAUGCUAUGCUACUAGCUGAAAAAAAGUUCAACAUUUUUAUAAUCUUAUUUUAUAAUUUUAUAAAGUUCAGCAUUUUAUAAUUAUUUUUGACAAAAUUUUUUAUAACUUAACCACAACCUUCUUUACUUUUCUUUUCUUUUCUUUCUUUUUUUUUUUGAGACAGAAUCUCCCACUGUUGCCCAUGCUGGAAUGUAGUGGUGUGAUCAUGGCUUACUGCAGCCUUGACCUCCCAGGCUCAAGAGAUCCUCCUGUCUCAGCCUCACAAGUAACUGGGACUACAAGUGUGUGCCAUUAUGCCCAGCUAAUUUUUUUAAAUUAUUUGUAGAGAUGAGGUCUUACUAUGUUGCCCAAGCUGGUCUGAAACCCCUGGGCCUUUUUCCUUUCUUUUCUGCUUCUUGUUAACCAAACUACAGAAAUGUUGUAUUUACUUACUAUGUUAUUUUUUUCUCCAUACCUUUGAUCUUGGCCUUUUUCUGUUUGGGCCUUCAGACCCUUGGAAACAGCAAAGACCUGGAUUUUUUUCAAUCUCAUCUGAGAGUUCAUGUCUACUAAGAUAUAUUUUCAGGCCAUUUAUAUUUAUUACAGUUGAUAACAGUUUUACAAUGUAUUUCUUGUCUUCAAUUUUAUACAUUCUAUUAACCAUUCAUUUUCUUUGUUUCGAUAAUUUCUAUUUUCUGAUACCUAAGUGGGGUUUUUUUAAAAGUUUUUUUUCUUUUUUGAGAAAGCUGUUUUCAGUUUGUAUUCUUUUACGGACUGGCAAUAAAUUUAAUAUGCAUAGUAACAUUCACAGGAAAUAAAAUAAAGCUAAUAUUUAUACUCUCCUUCCAAACAAAGAAAUAACUUGUUUUAGCUCUGACCAUUGCAUUUUUCUCCUACAAGCUAUUGUGACCUUUAAUUUUAGUUCCACCUUCCUUUUAGACCCUCAAUAGAGAAUCACUUGAACCCGGGAGGUGGAGGUUGCAGUGAGCCGAAAUUGUGCCACUGCACUCCAGCCUGGGUGACAGAGUGAGACUCCAUCUGAAAAAAUAAAAAAUAAAAUAAAAUAAAAAACGGACCCUCCAUGGAGGUAUCCUUUUAUUAUUGGUGCUGGAUGGUGAUGGUGUUUUAUAUGGCUGACACUAGUUUUGAUUUAACUCCGGUUCCUCUAUUUUUCUGAUGACCAGUAAUUUUUUUUAUUACUUAACUUGUAUUUUAAGUACAGGUGUACAAGUGCAGGUUUGCUAUAUAGGUGAACUUCUGUCAUAGGGAUUUGUUGUCACCCAGGUACUAAGCCUGGUAGCCAUUAGUUGUUUUUCCUGAUCCUCUCCCUCCUCCCACUCUUCACCCACCAAAAGGACCUAGUGUCCGUUGUUCCCCUCUAUGUGUCCAUGAAUUCUCAUCAUUUAGCUCCCACUUGUAAGUGAGAACAUGCAGUAUUUUGUUUUCUGUUCCUGCAUUAGUUUGUUAAGGAUAAUGGCCUCCAGCUCCAUUCAUGAUCCCACAAAGGACAUGAUCUGGUUCUGAAUUCAGUCUAUCAUUGAUGGGCAUUUAGGUUGUGUAUUACUCCGUUUUCACAUUGCUAUAAAGAACUUCCCUGAGAGUGGGUAAUUUAUAAAGGAAAGAGGUUUAAUUGACUCAUAGUUCCACAUGGCUGGGGAGACCUCAGGAAACUUACAAUCAUGGCGGAAGGCAAAGGGGAAGCAGGGCACCUUCUUCACAAGGCGGCAGGAAAGAGAGAGUGCAGGGAAAACUACCACUUUUUUUUUUUUCUUGAGAAAGUUUUUCUCUUGUGCCCAGGCUGGAGUGCAAUGGUGCGAUCUCGGCUCACUGCAACCUCCGCUUCCCGGGUUCAAGCGAUUCUCCUGCCUCAGCCUCCUGAGUAGCUGGGACUACAGGCGCCCACCACCAAGCCCAUCUAAUUUUUGUAUUUUUAGUAGAGACGGGGUUUCACCAUGUUGCUCAGGCUGGUUACGAUCUCCUGACCUCAAGUGAUCCGCCUGCCUCGACCUCCCAAAGUGCUGGGAUGACAGGCGUGAGCCACUGCGCCUGGCCGGAUAACUGCCACUUUUAAACCAUCAGAUCCCAUAAGAACUUCUUCACUAUCAUGGGAACAGCAUGGGGGAAACCGCCGUCAUGAUCCAGUUACCUCCUCCAGGGCUCUCUCUCUGCACGUGGGAAUUAUGGGGUUUACAGUUCGAGGUGAGAUUUGGGUGGGGACACAGGGCCAAGCUACAUCAGGUUGAUUCCAUGGAUGCCCCGUAUUUCCUGCAUCUUCUGCCUUCCUCCAGCUUUGGUACCUCUCUCCCUAUAGAGCAUCUUUGAGUAGUUCCAACAGUGAGUCGAAGUAAGUGGAAAACACUCUGGCUCCAAAGUGGUGCAUUUAUUUCC